Pseudophryne corroboree (corroboree frog) is the source of this 1585-nucleotide long non-coding RNA. RefSeq lists it as uncharacterized. NCBI's taxonomy places the organism in Eukaryota, Metazoa, Chordata, Amphibia, Anura, Myobatrachidae. The record is from RefSeq and is a predicted model, not a curated record. The transcript is spliced from 4 exons.
CAUAACAAACCAGCUUCAGUUGAGCCUCUGCCCAGAACCAGAGCAUAUGAAGAAGGAUAGGACCUGAAGGAGGUAUGGAGAUGGAGUACUGAGGUGCGAUGUCAUAACUACUUCCUCUCUGCUACUUUUCCUCUCAAUCUCCCUUUAUUGUGCCAGCUUCCUUGAUCCACAGCACAUGGAUAAUCACAAAACUUCAUCAUGCCAGGACUGAAAUGACCUUAGGCAAGUGUUAAAGAACAUGACUGCCGCCAGAGAAUUCUGGACCGGAUAUAUUGAAAUGUAUGAGGCCAACAAUUUCCUAUGGCGUAUAAAAAGCAAGGACUACACCAACCAGUUCAAGAAAAAUGCAGCCUUAGAAAAACUCGCCCAGUACAGUAAAGACCAUGACAGUGAUGUCUACAUCACAUGAGUAAAAAAGAAGAUUCAAAAUUUGCGAACCGUCUUUUUGAAAGAACAUAAAAAAAUAUAAAGAUUCAGGAGCGGGGGCCGAUGAAGUACGUUAACCAUUGUUGUGGUACUACGACAUGCUCCAGUUUACCCUUAAUUAAGAACCUGAGAGAGACUCCCUGAGUUCUACUAAUUCCAACUCUCCUGUGCUGGAGGCAGCAGUGGAAGAAACGGAGAGUCAGGAUCAGGAUGAUACUCUGGAUCUGGACACCAUCCCGAGCCAACAGCACGAAGUGGAAGGUGCUGAAAUGCUUGCCCAACCUGAGCUGAUACCUCUGCCACACCCCAAGAAGGCGAAGGUUUCGGAGAAGGCAUCCAGUAUAGCCAAGUCCAGAUCCAAACAAUUUUUAAAACAUGCGGAGGAGAUUCUGCAAAUGCCCCUGGAUAAAUUUGACCAUUUUGGCUCAGGUUUGGCUAGUGAGAUGCGUGACCUGGGCCAAGCUCAAUUUGCCUGUGUCAAGUCUGAGAUACAUGACGUUAUGUGGCUUGCCUUUCAUGGCAGAUUGGUUGAGGGAUGCUACAUAGCGUUCCCAUCAAGGCAACAUCCCACAACAUCGGGCCCCACCACUGUCCCCAUCCCACCUCACCCACCCACCCACAUAUUCUGCUCCGGUUCCUCAUCCGAUUCCCAACACAUAUGCGGCGAGCCCCAGCUAUAAUCACCCACCCUCCUAGCCCAGCAAUUCCAGCAGUGGAAUGUACUCAUAUAUGAGUACACAAUCCACUCACCAUGGUGAGCCCAGUUUUUACAAUAUGUAAUUUUUUUAAAAUCUUUUUUUGAUAAUGUUUUAAAAAUAGUUUGGGAGUUUUUCUCAGGGUCUUGAUCAAGAGUAUUUUGGAAUUGAUUGUUGGUACCAUAACGACGGUUGAAUGUAUUAAUUGCCCCUGUGAAUGAACGUUGUAAAUUGUUUAUAUUUCUUAUGUUCCUGAAAAAAGACUGUUCUAAAAUUCUGUUCUUCUUUUUUACCAAAUGAUGUUGGCAUUACUAUUUAUGGCCUUUACUGUACUGGACUAGUUGCUGCAUUGACCGGUUGGUGUAAACCCUGACACAGAGGCAAUUGUUGGCCUCAUUAGAGCAAUAAAUCUUGUUCAGAAUUCUAUUUUCUUAACAAUUUUUUUAAUAAAAAAGUUACUCAAA